Molecule: transfer RNA, 55 nt
Filed under: Otobius megnini
Lineage: Eukaryota; Metazoa; Arthropoda; Arachnida; Ixodida; Argasidae
Description: tRNA-Ser
Source: RNAcentral
AAAACCAUCAUAAAGGCUGCUAACCUUAAAAUAAUGAUUUAAUCAUUUGGUUUUU